AUGGCCGGCGGCGUUAGGAGGCUCUCGGAGGUGCUGCGGGAGCAGCAGGAGCCGUUCCUCCUUCAGGGAGAGCCCUGCUGCUCCGUCAACAACAAGGGCGUCAGGGCUUCGUGGGGCCGGGCCGUGAGGAGGGCGGUGCCGCGGUGGCGGUCUGACGGCCUCGCCGUCGGCUGCUUCCCCUGCGCCGCCCGCAAGCGCGAGAGCUUCCGCCCGCUGUCGCGCGCCGGCCACGCGCACUGCGACGACGACGCGAGGCGGCUCAGCCCGGUGUCCGUCCUGGACGUGCUGCGGUGCUCCGACGACGAGGAGGAAGCGUCGUCGUCGCCCACGCUCAGCGACUGGGAGGAGGAGGAGGACGACAAGCCAUCGUCGACGGCAGGCAGCUCGCCGCCACCCGACAAGAAGGAGGAGUCGGAGGAGGAGUGGAGGAAGGUGGUCUCGUCGUGGGAGAGGGUCGCGGGGGACAUCGCAAGGGUCCCCGUGCUUGCGCAGCUGGACCUGUUGAGCUCCAUGUCGGCGAGGGAGUGGGAGUGGCACGGGGAGGCGGAGGCAGAGCGGGUGGGCGCGAGCGUGGAGGCCAUGAUCUUCGAGGAGAUGAGCGCGGAUGCCGUGCGCGACAUGGUCGACCUGUAG
This 633-nucleotide ribosomal RNA is filed under the name Triticum aestivum (bread wheat). RNAcentral describes it as "partial small subunit ribosomal RNA". The record is from RNAcentral. Lineage: Eukaryota; Viridiplantae; Streptophyta; Magnoliopsida; Poales; Poaceae.